CCUACGGGGGGCAGCAGUAGGGAAUCUUCCACAAUGGGCGCAAGCCUGAUGGAGCAACACCGCGUGAGUGAAGAAGGGUUUCGGCUCGUAAAGCUCUGUUGUUGGAGAAGAACGUGCGUGAGAGUAACUGUUCACGCAGUGACGGUAUCCAACCAGAAAGUCACGGCUAACUACGUGCCAGCAGCCGCGGUAAUACGGAGGUGGCAAGCGUUAUCCGGAUUUAUUGGGCGUAAAGCGAGCGCAGGCGGUUGCUUAGGUCUGAUGUGAAAGCCUUCGGCUUAACCGAAGAAGUGCAUCGGAAACCGGGCAACUUGAGUGUAGAAGAGGACAGUGGAACUCCAGGUGUAGCGGUGGAAUGCGUAGAUAUAUGGAAGAACACCAGUGGCGAUGGCGGCUGUCUGGUCUGCAACUGACGCUGAGGCUCGAAAGCAUGGGUAGCGAACAGGAUUAGAUACCCCGGUAGUC
RNAcentral lists this ribosomal RNA (465 nucleotides) under uncultured bacterium. Its description in RNAcentral is "partial 16S ribosomal RNA". It matches the Rfam family "Bacterial small subunit ribosomal RNA", at positions 338 to 795 of the family's 1533-position model. The record is from RNAcentral.